GCCUCGGUAGCUCAGCCGGCAGAGCGCCUGGUCUGUAACCAGAAGCGCGGGGGUUCGAUUCCCUCCCGAGGCU
RNAcentral lists this transfer RNA (73 nucleotides) under Candidatus Methanophagales archaeon. RNAcentral's name for it is "ANME-1 cluster archaeon tRNA-Thr". It matches the Rfam family "tRNA". From Rfam's summary of the family: Transfer RNA (tRNA) molecules are approximately 80 nucleotides in length. Their secondary structure includes four short double-helical elements and three loops (D, anti-codon, and T loops). Lineage: Archaea; Methanobacteriati; Methanobacteriota; Methanomicrobia; Candidatus Methanophagales. The record is from RNAcentral. RNAcentral also lists the same sequence under 1 other name.